RNAcentral lists this transfer RNA (72 nucleotides) under Candidatus Gottesmanbacteria bacterium RIFOXYB1_FULL_47_11. RNAcentral describes it as "tRNA-Arg". It matches the Rfam family "tRNA". Rfam says of the family: Transfer RNA (tRNA) molecules are approximately 80 nucleotides in length. Their secondary structure includes four short double-helical elements and three loops (D, anti-codon, and T loops). Lineage: Bacteria; Candidatus Gottesmaniibacteriota. The record is from RNAcentral.
GCUCCUGUAGCUCAACGGAUAGAGCAAGCCCCUUCUAAGGGUUAGAUGAAGGUUCAAUUCCUCCCAGGAGCG